This 119-nucleotide ribosomal RNA is filed under the name Oncorhynchus mykiss (rainbow trout). Lineage: Eukaryota; Metazoa; Chordata; Actinopteri; Salmoniformes; Salmonidae. The record is from RNAcentral.
GCUUACGGCCACACCGGCCUGAGUACGCCUGAUCUCGUCCGAUCUCGGAAGCUAAGCAGGGUCGGGCCUGGUUAGUACUUGGAUGGGAGACCGCCUGGAAAUACCAGGUGCUGUAAGCU